AGCAGCCGCGGUAAUUCCAGCUCCAAUAGCGUAUAUUAAAGUUGUUGCAGUUAAAAAGCUCGUAGUUGAAUUUCGGGAUCAAUAUGUUGGUCGUGCCAUUGGUACGUACUGGUAUCAUUGAUUUCUCCUUUCUGACGAACCAUGAUGUCAUUAAUUUGGUGUUAUGGGGAGUUAGGACUGUUACUUUGAAAAAAUUAGAGUGUUUAAAGCAGGCAUUAGCUUGAAUACAUUAGCAUGGAGUAAUGAAAUAGGACGUUUGACCCUAUUUUGUUGGUUUCUAGGAUCGACGUAAUGAUUAAUAGGGAUAGUUGGGGGCAUUAGUAUUCAAUUGUCAGAGGUGAAAUUCUUGGAUUUAUUGAAGACUAACUACUGCGAAAGCAUUUGCCAAGGAUGUUUUCAUUAAUCAAGAACGAAAGUUAGGGGAUCGAAGACGAUCAGAUACCGUCGUAGUCUUAACCAUAAACUAUGCCGACUAGGGAUCGGAUGAUGUUAAUUUUUUAAUGACUCA
This 508-nucleotide ribosomal RNA is filed under the name uncultured Glomeromycotina. RNAcentral describes it as "SSU rRNA". It matches the Rfam family "Eukaryotic small subunit ribosomal RNA", at positions 569 to 1078 of the family's 1831-position model. The record is from RNAcentral. Lineage: Eukaryota; Fungi; Glomeromycota.